GGGGGAAGAGUCAAAUCUGUCAUAAUGAAGACUGAGGAGGCGGAGUGUCAGAGACCGAGGAGGAGAAUGGUCGGUCCGACAGUCAGAUACCUGCUGGAGUCUGAGCAGCAGUCACAUGGGCCAACAGAGGCCAAUCACAGCAGAGCAAGCAGAGACGUGGGGAGGAGGAAGACGGGGAGGCCGAAGAAGGAGCAGAAGGAGCUGGAUGACAGCAGCACAAUGGAGUCCUCAGCAGACGGAGGAGCAGAGAGAUGGUGGAAGCUCUGCCAGGUGUGUGGUCUGAACUUCACCAGCCAGCCGUCUCUGGAUCUCCAUCUGUCCGUCCACAGACCGGCUUCGAGCUGCGCACAAGCUGCUGCUGACCAACAGCAAGAACAAACCAAUGACGCGAAGGGUGAUGCAGAGGAGAGGGAGGAGCCUCAGAGGCCAAGGAGGACAGUCUGCCAACCAAUCAGGCGUCUGUCCUCCACAGACCGAAGCGAGUGUUCGGCUGUCACAUCUGCAACAGAAAGUUCAGCCGUGCCAGCAGACUGUUCCUGCAUCAUUGCGAUCAGCACCGCAGCAUCUUAGACAGUCCCCACGGCAACAGAGUUGGCAUGGCCAUGAGCAGUGCUCGAGCUUCUGAUAGCAAACUGAAAGAAGGAACCCAGGGUAACGACGAGAAUGGGGAGGAGUCUCAGCGGCAGCGGAGGACUAGAGUUGGCCCACCAAUCAGAUACCUGCUGGAGUCAGAGGAGCCGUCACGUGGUCUUAGAGCAGCCAAUCAGAGUGCAGCAACCAAACCCACACAAAGGAAAGGAAGAAUGAAGGCUGGUGGCCUCACUAAGGCUGGGGGCGGGACUUCACAGAUAAUUGAUAGGUUUGAGGCUGCUGUUGCCACAGAGAGACAGACAGGUGUGCACAGACAGACUUACCUGGUUCACAGAGACCUGCAGGAUGGUCAGGUGACCAUCUCCCCCUGCUCUGUCACAAUGCAGCGCCUCCUCUGAUUGGCUGAUGACAUUCUUGUUAACCAUGUUUGUUGUAAUUUUUUGGUUUGGUUUCAGUGAUUUUAGGUGUGUGUCACACUCUUUGUUUUUGAACAAUAAAAUGAAAUAAUGUCCAGCUCC
This is a long non-coding RNA of Oreochromis aureus, 1109 nucleotides long. Lineage: Eukaryota; Metazoa; Chordata; Actinopteri; Cichliformes; Cichlidae. The record is from Ensembl.